Molecule: long non-coding RNA, 5665 nt
Filed under: Sus scrofa (pig)
Lineage: Eukaryota; Metazoa; Chordata; Mammalia; Artiodactyla; Suidae
Description: lncRNA (ENSSSCG00050060989.1)
Source: RNAcentral
UUAAAAUGAUUAAGAUUGUGAAUUUUAUGUUAUGUGUAUUUUACCACACAUUAAAAAAAAAUAGUUUAAGAUCGCAUAGCUUUAAAUGGAGGAGGUGGAAUUCAAACUGUUGUCUGGCUGGCAGUGAAAUCUCUGCUCUUUUCUAAAAACACCAGCACCACUCUUAUGAAGUGGAAGCUGCAGUAAAGAGGGGAAUCAGUGGUGGAGAAAGGUCUCAGGAGAGUCAGUAAACGAUGGGGUCAGAGCUUAAGGGGGGGCAGUAUACAUAGGAUGGCUCAACAACAGGGUCCUACUGUAGCCCAGGGAACUCUACUCAAUAUCCUAUGAUAAUCUAUAAUGGAAAAAAAUAUGAAAAAGCAUAUGUGUGUGUGGGGGGGUAUACAACUGAAUCAUUUUGCUGUGUAGCAGAUGUUAACUUAACACUGUCAAUCAACUAUACUUCAAUAAAAUUUUCUUAAAAAAGAUGGAGUUCCCGUCAUGGCACAGUGGAAAUGAAUCCGACCAGGAACCAUGAGGUUGUGGGUUCGAUCCCUGGCCUUGCUCAGUGGGUUAAGGUUAAGGAUCCGGCGUUGCCGUGAGCUGUGGUGUAGGUUUCAGACAAGGCUCGGAUCCCACGUUGCUGUGGCUGUGGUGUAGACCAGUGGCUACAGCUCUGAUUUGACCCCUAGCCUGGGAACCUCCAUAUGCCGUGGAUGCAGCCCUAAAAAGCUAAAUAGAUUAUAGAUAGAUAGAUAGAUAGAUAGAUAGAUAGAUAGAUAGAUAGAUAGAUAGCCAGCUAGCUGGAGGUGGGGGCCUGCUCAGAACAAAAGUCCCGAGACUGGGGAAGGAGGGAAAUGGGGGAUGGUGUGCAGGUCCAUCUGUGGCUGGGGAGCUAAGAUUCUUCUGAGAAAUCCCACUUUCUUUGUGAAGUUGGAGGCAAAUGGGAUGGGAUCAGGCAGAGCGCUUGAGGCAGUGAGGAGAGUUUGAAAUAGCCAUCGUGGACAAAACUGACCAGGCUUACAUCUUUAAAUACAGGCCAAGCAGAGUUGAGAUUCUGGCUGUAAUGUCUAACCACACCGUGUGGAAUUGCCCCUAAGGAACUAUGCAGUUAACUGAAGUUCAUUCAUUAGAUUGACUGGUACAGUCACAAGGGAAAUCAUUAGUCAUGCCCCUUAGGUCACUAAGAGCCCCCAGAAAAUGGGCGAUUUACCUGUAGACUCAAGGUAUGGCUGUGACGACUAGAAAAAGAGCUGCUGCAAGGGAACCAGCUUGAGGACCCAAGAAUCUGAAUGGCUGACGUGAAAUCAGUCUUAAGGGCAGCCCUCCUGCUGUGCAGAAAGAGGGUUAACAUUCAGAUCAUCUUGAGCUGCUCACCAGCAAGUGAUGAGGAUUUUCAGUCACGUAAGUAGAUGGCGCUUACUUUAAGUGGGGGCGUCUUUCAUUUGUAAAAAACAGCAGCAAGAUCCAGGCCCCAGAUACCUUGCACUUUUUCUUCUAUGGGGUUUUAAAACAGUGGAAUACUCCCAAUAUUCCCCAAACAGAUUAUUUUAAUGUAUAACAUGAAAUUACCAAAUUCUAAUUAAGAUUGGAUUUUCAGAUGAUUCCAUUGUUAAUGGGUCCCCUUGGGUUUCUUAAUUUACAAUCUACUGAUUGCAAACAAAAUGGGAUUUUUCUAAUAAGUUUUGAGAUAGCUAUGAUAACAGGCACAGAUGACUUUAACAAACUACAAUGAUUAGUCGAUUCUAUUAUUUGGCCAAUCUCUAUAUAAAACUAUUUUCGUGUGAGCCAGAUAAUUACAAGUACUGUAAAAUAAAUGAGUUGCUGCAUUGUCCCUCAGUUUUUUUCUUUGUUGGCUGCACUUGCAGCAUAUGGUAGUCCUGGGCCAGAGAUGGAAUCUGAGCCCCAUCUGCACAGCAUCUGCAACCUAUGUCACAACUGCGGCAAUGCUGGAUCCUUAACCCACUGUAUGGGACCAGGGAUAGAACUAGCAGUGCCACAGAGACAAGCCAGAUCAUUAGCCCAUUACAUCACAGCGGAAAGUCCACGUCCUCCCAUUUUUAAAAAAAAUAUUUUACUUUGAAAUCAUUAUAGAUUCACAGGAAAGUGCAAAGAUAGUACAGAGAAGUCCCAGGUACCCUUUACUAAGUCUCUUCAUGGUUACAGCUUAUGUAAUUAUGAUGCAAUAUCAAAACCAAAAAAUGGAUACUGAUACACUCUGCAUGUAUAAUUCUGUAUCAUUUUAUCAUGUGUAGAUUUGUGUGACCACCACUGCCUUCAAGAUGCAUGGCUAUUAUCUUUCACAUGCCGCCCCUUUGUAGUCACACCCGACCUCUUUCCCCCAACCAACCCUAAGCCUGGCAACCACUAAUCUGUUUUCCAUCUCUAUAAUUUUGUCAUUUUGAGAAUGUUACAGACAUGGAAUUAUAUAGUAUGUGACCUUUUGAGAGUGGCUUUUUUCAUCCAAUGUAAUGCCCUGAGGUUCAUCCAAAUUGUUGCAUAUGUAAAUAGUUCAUUCUCUUUUAUUGCUGAGUAGUUUUCCAUAGUGUGGAUGUACCAUUAUUUAACCAUUCAUCCAUGGAGGGAUGUUUUGGUUGUUUCCAGUUUCUGGCUGUUAUGCAUAAAGCUGCUAUGAGUAAUCUGUACCCAUUUUUAUGUGGACAUAGGUUUUCAUUUCUCUGGAGUAUGUUGUCAGGAGGGUAAUUGCUAGAUAAGUAUGUAUUUAGGUGUUUUUUUUUUUUAGAAGUGGCUAAACUAUCUUCCAGGAUGCUUUUUACCAUUCUGUGUUCCUAUAAACAAUGGAUGAGUGAUCCAGUUUCUCCACAUCCUUGUCAACAUUUGGUGUUGUCACUACUUUUUAUUUUAGCUGUUUUUAUAAGUGUGUAGUGAUAUCUAGCUGUUUUAUUAAUUUGCAUUUCCCUAAUGACUAGUGACAUUAGGUUAUAGAGAUAUCAAGCCUGUAAUGGGUUUUAGAGUUUCUUUGGCAAAUCACUUUAUGCUCUCCAAGCCUCAAUUUCCUCAUCUGUAAAGUGAGAGAAUAUAUAGCCCCUAAAUGACCUCCCAGUUCAAAAAUCCUAGGUACCACUGGAUCUACCUUAAGAGACUGUGUUUGCGAAGUCAGGAGCUUUUAAUUUUCCUUUUGUGCAUCAGCUAUUUCCAUCUGCCAAGAGUUGUCUAGAAUGAAUCUUAUCCAUGGGUUUCACUGACAUUUCCAUGAAAUGUAUGACAACUCCCUAUGUGCUUCAUUUGGCCCUAUUCAGCAUUUAAGUCACAUUAUCAAAGGCUGAGCCAAAAGAUUCAGACGUUCACAAGUUUGUAAGGGACUUUGUUAAUUAUCUGAUUCUGUGUAAAGUUGUUUUUAUUCCUUUGUUCUCAAGGUUCACUAUAGAAUAUACUUUUGUAUAGAUGAUACUUUAUAAUUUUCAUCAAGCACUGAUUGAGUGCCUACUGUGUGCAGAUAGGGUGGACUUGGGUUUGAAUGAUGCCACUGCCACUUGUGAACUGGGACUCGUCAAGAAACGUAACUUCUCUGAACUUCAGAGACAUGGACCUGCUCUUGAUAUUAUGAGGAAAAGAGGUCAUCGUAUACAGUGCCCAGUUCAUAUUAACACGCCACGAAUGGUAGCCAUGAUGACAUGGAAGAUAGAUGGUAGUCCCUGGGGAAACCUAGAGGCAGGGACGCAGCACGUGGCAUGACCCGCACAGGGUGCUUUCACUCACACACACACACACACACACACACACACACACACACACAUCUCAGUUAACACAUUAACACUGGGAGAUGGGUACUUACACACCUGUGUUUAUAAAACUGAGGCUGAGAAGCUAAAAAACUUAAUAUCUCCCUGAUACUGCUUUUCCAACCAGGGCCCGGUGAAAUGGCUCCCGGGGAAGAAGGGCUGCCGCCGUCACCAAGGUGGUGACAGGGAAUGGACUAUCAACAUUUGCAAGCGCAUCCAUGGAGCGGGUUUGAAGAAGUGCGCCCCUUGGGCAGUCAAGGAAAUCCGGAUAUUUGCCAUGAAGGUGAUGGAAACUCCAGAGUGCACGUUGACAUGGGGCCCAAUGAAACCUUCUGGGCCAAAGGAGCAAGAGAUGCCCCAGACCGGAUUCUUGUGCUGUGGUUGUCCAGAAAACAUAAUGAAGAUGAUGAUUUACCAAACAAGUUCUACACAUUGGUUAGCUAUGUACCUGUCAUCACUUUCAAAAAUCUGCAGUUAAUGUGGAUGAGGACAGCUGACUGUUAAAUAAAGUUACAGAACUGCCUUCACCCCCCCCCCAAAAAAAAAAUCGCUCUGGUGCCAAGCAAAGGAGAUAGAAUUCAAACUAUCCUUACAGAGUCUAGCCAGAGGGAUAAGCUGUGGGGAAACAGCUGUGCAGCAUAGAGGAGCCAGUGUCCACUGCGGGCCAGAGCCACAGGGCACUGAGGAGUUGAGAGAGGGAGUUAAUUUUGGGGAUUGGCCAGUUGGAGAAGGCAAAAGGAAGCGAGAAGAUUAGAACUUACUCUGUCUUCCUGGACAUCUCUGAGUUCCUAGAUGUCACCAUCACAACGGCCUGUUGGCCCUGGAAGCCCAGCCCAGCUUCUGCGGGGAGGGAGAUGGCGCUGGGCCCUUCAUGUCGUCGCCUCUCUCCCUCCUCCCCUUCAUUAAUGCAGUAUUUAUAUGCAGGCUCUCCUGUUUCCAUCAGGCUCUAACAUUUUAUCGACAUGAGUUUCAGCAUUAUCUCAAAACAUCGCUGUCAGAGAUGUAUUUCUUCCAUCAACAUGAAGCCCAGGGUCUACUUUAUAGAAAUACAUUCCAGAUUACCUUCCCUAGACUCAUUCUCUGUCACGUGAGCUUGACUUGCUUAUAAGCACAUUUCUGCCCUUGCUGAUUUUCAAAACAUCAUUGGACUGUUGCUAUAUAGUCUGCCUCAUAGCAAGUACUACAGCAACUCAUUUAGUCAAUACGUGCAUGUAUUGAAUACCUACUGUGUGCCAGGUACAAGAAUCUCGGGCCUCAUGGAACAAACAUUCUAUGAACGGCCAAUUAAAUAAUGAAAGACAUGAGACUUUAACUUGAAUAUCACUAUCGUGGCAAAUAUUAGUAAGAAAUUGGAGUAAAUAAACUCUAGCUUUAAUGAAAGUACAGUGUAUACAGUUCAACACAGAGCAAUGACUAAUGCAUCAUGGCAGAGGACAAUCCUUGAAAAUAUCAUCCUUGGGCCUACAAACACGUCAUUGUGUAGACUAAUCUCAGGUCUAUGAGGGUGAGCAAGUUUACAGUUCUUUGAAAUUUGAUCUCAGUUUCAGUUGCAAAGGCCUAAAUUGGGUUAGAGCAGCUUGCCUUUCGUAGUCCUCAACCUUCCUUGAUCCUCAGGGAUCAAUGACUAAUUCAGUUUUUUAAAAGUAGGGUGGCAGGCAUCCCAAGAACUCAGCCUCUGGGGGUUACAUCUGGUUUGGCAACUUCCUGUGGUGUGCAAUGCCCAGCCCCAUGUAUCUGUAGCCGUUAUGUGAGUAAUAAUGCAGAGUAUAUGCUCUGGAUCUUUUAAGGUACAUCAAGGGGCUGUAUUUCAGCAGCCGAUAGGACUCCAAGAGUUUUACCUUUUACUACUCCAGCCUUUCAGAUUUUCCCGGAAUCGUCACCUCUUAGAGUCUGUGCCUUCUCUGUGUGUUCCCAGAAUUCUCUAUUUAGGCUACUGUCAUGUUGGU